GACGAACGCUGGCGGCAUGCCUAAUACAUGCAAGUCGAGCGAACAGAUGAAGUGCUUGCACUUCUGACGUUAGCGGCGAACGGGUGAGUAACACGUAAGGAAUCUACCUAUAAGCGGGGGAUAACAUUCGGAAACGGGUGCUAAUACCGCAUAAUAUCUUCUUCCGCACGGAAGAAGAUUGAAAGACGGCUCUGCUGUCACUUAUAGAUGACCUUGCGGUGCAUUAGUUAGGUGGUGGGGUAACGGCCUACCAAGACGAUGAUGCAUAGCCGACCUGAGAGGGUGAUCGGGCACAUGGGGACAGAGACACGGCCCAAACUCCUGCGGGAGGCAGCAGUAGGGAAUCUUCCGCAAUGGGCGAAAGCCUGACGGAGCAAUGCCGCGUGAGUGAAGAAGGCCUUCGGGUCGUAAAACUCUGUUAUAAGAGAAGAACAAAUUGUAGAGUAACUGCUACAGUCUUGACGGUAUCUUAUCAGAAAGCCACGGCUAACUACGUGCCAGCAGCCGCCGUAA
RNAcentral lists this ribosomal RNA (513 nucleotides) under uncultured bacterium. Its description in RNAcentral is "partial 16S ribosomal RNA". It matches the Rfam family "Bacterial small subunit ribosomal RNA", at positions 28 to 523 of the family's 1533-position model. The record is from RNAcentral.